This is a long non-coding RNA of Stegostoma tigrinum, 3116 nucleotides long. RefSeq lists it as uncharacterized. The record is from RefSeq and is a predicted model, not a curated record. The transcript is spliced from 7 exons. NCBI's taxonomy places the organism in Eukaryota, Metazoa, Chordata, Chondrichthyes, Orectolobiformes, Stegostomatidae.
GGUGGUUCUGCCUCUCACUCUCGCCUUUGCUUUCUCUAUCUCGCUGUUUCACUCUGUCUUCUCUCUCAAUCUCUUUGUUUCUAAUUCUACAUCGCUAUCUGUUGCUUCCCUACUUCCACCCCCGCCCCCCCCCCCCUGUCUAAUUUCCCCUGUCGUUUUCUGUGUCUAGCUUUCUGUUUCCGUCGAUCUCCUCUGUAUCUCGGGGAACCCAGUACUAUGGAGACAUAGCUGGGUCUGAGAAAAUUGCAUGUGAAAACAGCAACACAAGACAGAAACCAAGAGAGAACCAAAUCUGGGUCUCGGUCGCUGCCAAAGUUGAAAGGCUUCAGGAGGGACAGUUGCCAAUGCCAGCGAGCUCCCUGUCUCAGCCAAUCUGUCACAUCAUUGUGUAAGAACCGUACAGUGAUAGGAAUUCAUGGAAAGGAGCCUCAAUCCAGGAGGACAAAACAAAAAAAAACUUUCAGCACUUCCUCUGACUUCCACACAGCAGUAACUGGAACGCUUGAACACACUGACCAUGAUGAUGAAGGUAGCACAUGAUGAAAAGAAAGAUUAAAUGACAGUGUUGUCCCGUCAGAUGUUGACCAGCUGUUGGUUGUAGCUUUGGGGAUUGUUUCCUGAGGCAACAGGAUGGAAGUAAAGACUUUGAGAAAAUGUGCAAAAGACCAGCGUGAAAUGGAAGGUUCUACUAGAGGCCUAUGACAACAAGGUAGAAGAUAGAGCUCCAUCUACAGAAUUCAUGCCUGGAUGAUAGAUGCUGCAUUUGGACGUCAGAGCCAAGCUCAAGGAAGGGACUGUUGCUAGUGGAGACUUCCAUUGGACUAUAUCCAUCUGAUAAUUCAUCCGACUGACCUGCACUUCACUUGUGAGACCAGUCAGGGGCAUCAACAGGAGGUUUGUUUCUCUUAGACCAUAAGAUGUAAAGGAGCAGAAUUAGGCCAUUCAGCCUAUUGAUGCUAUCCACCACUGGAUCUUGGCUGAUAUGUUUCUCAACACCACUCUCCUGCCUUCUCCCUGUAACCCCCUCACUAAUCAAGAGCCUACCAGUUGCUGUCAUAAAUACACUCAAUGACGUGGUCUCAACAGCCUCCUGCAGCAGUUGGAGUUCCACAGAUUCACCACCCUCUGGCUGAAGAAAUGCCUCCUCAUCUCAUUUCUAAAGGGAUGUCACUUCACUCUGAGCCUGUGUCCUUGUGACUUUAUCUUCUUCAUUUGCACUCUAUUCAGGCGUCUCAGUAUUCUGUAAGUUUAAUCAGACUCCCCCUCCCCCCCAAUUCUUCUAAACUCCAGAGCCCUUAACUGCUCCUUAUAGGACAAACCCUUCAGCACCAUGAUCAUUUUUGUAAACCUCCUGCAUACCCUCUCCAGGGCCAGCACAUUCUUCCUAGGGUACGGUUCCAAACUGCUCAUAAUAUUCCAAAUGCAGCUUUAUACAGCCUUGGCAGUACACCCCUGCUUUUGUAUUCUCGCCUUCUCAAAUAUCCUUUUCACAGUUUUCCUAUUUACCUUUUUGUUGUUUGCCGAUUAUCUCUCCUUGUCUUUAGAACACAUUGACUCAGAAACAUAGAAAAAUACAGCACAGAAUGAGGCCAUUCAACUCAUUCAUGUCCAUGCCAGCCCUUUGAAAGUACUUUCCAAUUAGCUCCACUUUCCCUACUUGUUCCUGGUAGCCACGAAGGCUUUUCCGUCUUGUCAUUUUAUUCAAUUCUGUUUUGAAGUUACAACCGAAUCCAGUUUUUCCAAUUUCAAGCGGUUUUCGAUGAAUCAUUUUAUUCUUCAAUACAUACUUCACUCGAUACUUCCAAGUCAAAUACACAUUUUAUCGUGCUUAGUUGUUUUGUUACUUGUAUGAACUACUCAUUUCUUCCUGUAAGUUGAAAUUUCAAUUUGUUUUACUUGUUCAUCUCCACAUGGGGUGGAGAGUGGCAAAAUGGGGUCAUGUAUAAGUGUCUCUUUCACCAUUAGUGGCAAUGUACUUUCUAUACUACAGCAUGCACCCUCUGGGAUGAUCUACUUCUUGGAUUUUUUUUAGAGGGUAAUGGUAAGGGUGGAUGAGAGGGGAGAAUGCCACUUCUGCCUUCGCGCUAGGGUAGCAGGCCUUUGGAGUUGCCCCUAUUGCUCAUGAAGAGGGGGCGUCACAAACACAUGACCAUUUCCCUCCACGAACUAAUAUGUCAGAGCAUCUAAAUAAUGUGUCACCAUACUCUCAGCGUCUUCCAUGUCAGUGCUCCUCUCGACAGUUGGCUCUUAACAGAACAUGUUAGUGGGAGACUAUUUGACUGUGGAAGAUUCACAGCUGAGCCUUCUUCUGUCUCAAUCCUGAUCUUCGCUUCCUAUUCAGUGCUCACUAGUUGGGAAAAGUCUUCACGAAUCCAAAGAUGUGCAGGUUUAUUGGAUUGGCCAGGCUAACUUGCCCAUACUGUUCAGGAAUGUGUAGAUUAGGUGAAUUAUGAGGGAUAGAUGUAAAUGGGAUGCUGUGUAGGGCAGUGUGAACUUGUUGGGCCAAAGCGCCUGUUUCCACAUUGUUGGGAUUCUAUGAUUUAUGAUCUAAACACUGGCUGACUCCUCCCAUCACUAACCCAGGGCUGUAAAUUAGUUACAACACCCACAUCCUGAACACAAUUGAGAAUUGUUAAUGCAGCGUGGAAAUGGCUCUUACUGAUGAAACCCUUUAUCUGUGUAGUUUAACAAUUCAAAUUUCAAUGUUGGUGGAGUUCCUGUACAAUGCCUGAUAAUGGGAAUUAAGUGUGUUUAUUUUUACUGGGAUCGCUUUGAAUUAUCCAAUACCGCCUUCUGUCCUCCAUUUAGCUGAGAUUUCAGUGUUGUCCGAUUCCUAAUGUUGGGGGUUGGUUAGUUCAUUUGUGUGGAAUGUAAAGCAGAGUGACACCAAUAGCAUGGGUUCAGUUCCAGCACCAGCUGAGAUUACCAUCAAGGUCCUAUCUUCUCACCCUCUAUUCUCACCUGAGGCGUGGUGACCCUCAGGUUAAACCAGUUGACUCUGAGACACCCACUCUAUGGGACUAUGGUGACUUUAUUCCUAAUACCGUGCUAAUGUAAAAUAUUAUUCAUGCCAAUGUUAAAAAAACUUUAUUUCAAAUAAACUGUUUUUCUUGCAA